RNAcentral lists this ribosomal RNA (497 nucleotides) under uncultured bacterium. RNAcentral's name for it is "partial 16S ribosomal RNA". It matches the Rfam family "Bacterial small subunit ribosomal RNA", at positions 28 to 507 of the family's 1533-position model. The record is from RNAcentral.
GAUGAACGCUGGCGGCGUGCCUAAUACAUGCAAGUCGAGCGAACAGACGAGGAGCUUGCUCCUCUGACGUUAGCGGCGGACGGGUGAGUAACACGUGGAUAACCUACCUAUAAGACUGGGAUAACUUCGGGAAACCGGAGCUAAUACCGGAUAAUAUAUUGAACCGCAGUGUUCAAUAGUGAAAUACGGUUUUUCUGUCACUUAUAGAUGGAUCCGCGCCGCAUUAGCUAGUUGGUAAGGUAACGGCUUACCAAGGCGACGAUGCGUAGCCGACCUGAGAGGGUGAUCGGCCACACUGGAACUGAGACACGGUCCAGACUCCUACGGGAGGCAGCAGUAGGGAAUCUUCCGCAAUGGGCGAAAGCCUGACGGAGCAACGCCGCGUGAGUGAUGAAGGUCUUCGGAUCGUAAAACUCUGUUAUUAGGGAAGAACAAAUGUGUAAGUAACUAUGCACGUCUUGACGGUACCUAAUCAGAAAGCCACGGCUAACUACGUG